UUAAGCGACUAAGCGUACACGGUGGAUGCCCUGGCAGUCAGAGGCGAUGAAGGACGUGCUAAUCUGCGAUAAGCGUCGGUAAGGUGAUAUGAACCGUUAUAACCGGCGAUUUCCGAAUGGGGAAACCCAGUGUGUUUCGACACACUAUCAUUAACUGAAUCCAUAGGUUAAUGAGGCGAACCGGGGGAACUGAAACAUCUAAGUACCCCGAGGAAAAGAAAUCAACCGAGAUUCCCCCAGUAGCGGCGAGCGAACGGGGAGCAGCCCAGAGCCUGAAUCAGUGUGUGUGUUAGUGGAAGCGUCUGGAAAGGCGCGCGAUACAGGGUGACAGCCCCGUACACAAAAAUGCACAUAUUGUGAGCUCGAUGAGUAGGGCGGGACACGUGGUAUCCUGUCUGAAUAUGGGGGGACCAUCCUCCAAGGCUAAAUACUCCUGACUGACCGAUAGUGAACCAGUACCGUGAGGGAAAGGCGAAAAGAACCCCGGCGAGGGGAGUGAAAAAGAACCUGAAACCGUGUACGUACAAGCAGUGGGAGCCUCUUUUAUGGGGUGACUGCGUACCUUUUGUAUAAUGGGUCAGCGACUUAUAUUCUGUAGCAAGGUUAACCGAAUAGGGGAGCCGAAGGGAAACCGAGUCUUAACUGGGCGUUAAGUUGCAGGGUAUAGACCCGAAACCCGGUGAUCUAGCCAUGGGCAGGUUGAAGGUUGGGUAACACUAACUGGAGGACCGAACCGACUAAUGUUGAAAAAUUAGCGGAUGACUUGUGGCUGGGGGUGAAAGGCCAAUCAAACCGGGAGAUAGCUGGUUCUCCCCGAAAGCUAUUUAGGUAGCGCCUCGUGAAUUCAUCUCCGGGGGUAGAGCACUGUUUCGGCAAGGGGGUCAUCCCGACUUACCAACCCGAUGCAAACUGCGAAUACCGGAGAAUGUUAUCACGGGAGACACACGGCGGGUGCUAACGUCCGUCGUGAAGAGGGAAACAACCCAGACCGCCAGCUAAGGUCCCAAAGUCAUGGUUAAGUGGGAAACGAUGUGGGAAGGCCCAGACAGCCAGGAUGUUGGCUUAGAAGCAGCCAUCAUUUAAAGAAAGCGUAAUAGCUCACUGGUCGAGUCGGCCUGCGCGGAAGAUGUAACGGGGCUAAACCAUGCACCGAAGCUGCGGCAGCGACACUAUGUGUUGUUGGGUAGGGGAGCGUUCUGUAAGCCUGUGAAGGUGUACUGUGAGGUAUGCUGGAGGUAUCAGAAGUGCGAAUGCUGACAUAAGUAACGAUAAAGCGGGUGAAAAGCCCGCUCGCCGGAAGACCAAGGGUUCCUGUCCAACGUUAAUCGGGGCAGGGUGAGUCGACCCCUAAGGCGAGGCCGAAAGGCGUAGUCGAUGGGAAACAGGUUAAUAUUCCUGUACUUGGUGUUACUGCGAAGGGGGGACGGAGAAGGCUAUGUUGGCCGGGCGACGGUUGUCCCGGUUUAAGCGUGUAGGCUGGUUUUCCAGGCAAAUCCGGAAAAUCAAGGCUGAGGCGUGAUGACGAGGCACUACGGUGCUGAAGCAACAAAUGCCCUGCUUCCAGGAAAAGCCUCUAAGCAUCAGGUAACAUCAAAUCGUACCCCAAACCGACACAGGUGGUCAGGUAGAGAAUACCAAGGCGCUUGAGAGAACUCGGGUGAAGGAACUAGGCAAAAUGGUGCCGUAACUUCGGGAGAAGGCACGCUGAUAUGUAGGUGAAGCGACUUGCUCGUGGAGCUGAAAUCAGUCGAAGAUACCAGCUGGCUGCAACUGUUUAUUAAAAACACAGCACUGUGCAAACACGAAAGUGGACGUAUACGGUGUGACGCCUGCCCGGUGCCGGAAGGUUAAUUGAUGGGGUUAGCGGUAACGCGAAGCUCUUGAUCGAAGCCCCGGUAAACGGCGGCCGUAACUAUAACGGUCCUAAGGUAGCGAAAUUCCUUGUCGGGUAAGUUCCGACCUGCACGAAUGGCGUAAUGAUGGCCAGGCUGUCUCCACCCGAGACUCAGUGAAAUUGAACUCGCUGUGAAGAUGCAGUGUACCCGCGGCAAGACGGAAAGACCCCGUGAACCUUUACUAUAGCUUGACACUGAACAUUGAGCCUUGAUGUGUAGGAUAGGUGGGAGGCUUUGAAGUGUGGACGCCAGUCUGCAUGGAGCCGGCCUUGAAAUACCACCCUUUAAUGUUUGAUGUUCUAACGUUGGCCCCUGAUCGGGGUUGCGGACAGUGUCUGGUGGGUAGUUUGACUGGGGCGGUCUCCUCCUAAAGAGUAACGGAGGAGCACGAAGGUUGGCUAAUCCUGGUCGGACAUCAGGAGGUUAGUGCAAUGGCAUAAGCCAGCUUGACUGCGAGCGUGACGGCGCGAGCAGGUGCGAAAGCAGGUCAUAGUGAUCCGGUGGUUCUGAAUGGAAGGGCCAUCGCUCAACGGAUAAAAGGUACUCCGGGGAUAACAGGCUGAUACCGCCCAAGAGUUCAUAUCGACGGCGGUGUUUGGCACCUCGAUGUCGGCUCAUCACAUCCUGGGGCUGAAGUAGGUCCCAAGGGUAUGGCUGUUCGCCAUUUAAAGUGGUACGCGAGCUGGGUUUAGAACGUCGUGAGACAGUUCGGUCCCUAUCUGCCGUGGGCGCUGGAGAACUGAGGGGGGCUGCUCCUAGUACGAGAGGACCGGAGUGGACGCAUCACUGGUGUUCGGGUUGUCAUGCCAAUGGCACUGCCCGGUAGCUAAAUGCGGAAGAGAUAAGUGCUGAAAGCAUCUAAGCACGAAACUUGCCCCGAGAUGAGUUCUCCCUGAGACUUAGAGUCUCCUGAAGGAACGUUGAAGACGACGACGUUGAUAGGCCGGGUGUGUAAGCGCAGCGAUGCGUUGAGCUAACCGGUACUAAUGAACCGUGAGGCUUAACCUU
Molecule: ribosomal RNA, 2903 nt
Filed under: Escherichia coli HVH 87 (4-5977630)
Lineage: Bacteria; Pseudomonadati; Pseudomonadota; Gammaproteobacteria; Enterobacterales; Enterobacteriaceae
Description: bacterial LSU rRNA
Rfam family: Bacterial large subunit ribosomal RNA
Source: RNAcentral